This 514-nucleotide long non-coding RNA is filed under the name Carica papaya (papaya). RNAcentral describes it as "long non-coding RNA (CPAP_LNC015067)". The record is from RNAcentral. Lineage: Eukaryota; Viridiplantae; Streptophyta; Magnoliopsida; Brassicales; Caricaceae.
AUAAAGGCUGAAAGCUGGGGCUUUUAUUCUAGAUUGAUGCAAAAAAGUAAAUUAAUUAAUGAGACUUAAAAUAGAAAACAAAGAGUACUAUCGAAAAGUGAUUAAAGUGAAAGCAAUUAUGAUUUGAUUUUAGUCAAAGAAGUAGCUUUGAUUCUAGUUAUGAGAUUGAUCAUUGAUGCAAUGAUUGAUUCUUUCAAACUUCAACAAACCAGUUCUAGUUGUCGGAGAUCCUCCUAACAACCAAUCUUUCCUUGUUAAUAAAAAACCCCGGAUGCAAUCUUAGGAUUUAAUUCAUUAACAAUUUUAAGAGGUAGAAGGACCUAAUUCUAGUUAAUGAGUUCAACCAUGUGACCCAUUCAAACCAGAUUGCAUAUUCCCUUAGGAAAAAACUAAUUCACCACUAAGUAUCAGAAUAGCCCGAAUGAUUACAGAUUUGGGAGUUUCAAAUGACAAUAUAUUGUUGCAUUGGAUGCCUGACGGGCCUUGUUUAGAUAAUUAACAAACAACAAUAAUA